This 335-nucleotide RNase P RNA is filed under the name Oscillospiraceae bacterium. Its description in RNAcentral is "RNase P RNA component class A". It matches the Rfam family "Bacterial RNase P class A". From Rfam's summary of the family: Ribonuclease P (RNase P) is a ubiquitous endoribonuclease, found in archaea, bacteria and eukarya as well as chloroplasts and mitochondria. Its best characterised activity is the generation of mature 5'-ends of tRNAs by cleaving the 5'-leader elements of precursor-tRNAs. Cellular RNase Ps are ribonucleoproteins. The record is from RNAcentral. Lineage: Bacteria; Bacillati; Bacillota; Clostridia; Eubacteriales; Oscillospiraceae.
CGAGCAAAUCGGGCGGCAGCGCGCCCCUUGGGCGUGAGGAAAGUCCGAGCUCCGCAGGGCGGGAUAACUGCUAACGGCAGCCGGGGGCGACCCCAGGGAUAGUGCAACAGAGAUAUACCGCCCGCCUUUGGCGGGUAAGGGUGGAAAGGCGAGGUAAGAGCUCACCGGCGCGCAGGCGACUGCGCGGCCCUGUAAACCCUAUCCGGAGCAACACCGAUUCGGGACGUUUGAGCUUGCCCGGCGAGUCCCGAGGCGUGGCAUGAGCCGCGCGGCGACGCGCGGCCAAGAUAGAUUGUCGCUCAAGACAGAACUCGGCUUACAGAUUUGCUCGCAGC